AGAGGAAACAACACGGUUAAAGUUUUAGGUUUGAAAUUUAGAGUUUGUGGCGAAAUUGUCAGGGUUUAGGAAAAAUCAGGGUAGUUAGUUAUGAAAAAAUGUGCAGAUCUAAAUAUAUGUAUAUAUAUAAAAAAAAUGAAUUAAAAAAAACAACGGCGUUGCUAGCGCAAAAUUGCGAUCAUCGCAACUGGAUCGGAUAACACAAAUGUCACGCCUCAUACACGUAUAUGUGAAA
Molecule: long non-coding RNA, 235 nt
Filed under: Lathyrus oleraceus (garden pea)
Lineage: Eukaryota; Viridiplantae; Streptophyta; Magnoliopsida; Fabales; Fabaceae
Description: Pisum sativum (pea) long non-coding RNA (PSAT_LNC038738)
Source: RNAcentral